RNAcentral lists this ribosomal RNA (373 nucleotides) under Limnodrilus hoffmeisteri complex sp. I. RNAcentral describes it as "partial 12S ribosomal RNA". It matches the Rfam family "Bacterial small subunit ribosomal RNA", at positions 875 to 1415 of the family's 1533-position model. The record is from RNAcentral. Lineage: Eukaryota; Metazoa; Annelida; Clitellata; Tubificida; Naididae.
UCUAUGACAUAAAACCAAACCGGAUACUACGAACUCUGUUUAAAAUUCAAAGAACUUGGCGGUAUCUUAUACAGUCAGGGGAACCUGUCCCUUAAUUCGAUAAUCCACGAACGUCACACCCUCCCUCGUAUACUCAGCUUGUGUACUGCCGUCGAAUGUAUACCUCAAAGAGAAAGUGUACAAUAAUAUCACUACUGACGUCAGGUCAAAGUGCAGCUAAUGGGAGGGCGGAGAUGGGUUACAAUUUUAAUAAAAGCCAGCAAUCAUUUAAAAAUGGUGAAAAAGAUGGACUUGAAAGUAAUAACUACACCAAAGAGUUAUAAAUAGGAAUCUAAGAUAUGCACACAUCGCCCGUCGCUCUCGUCGAAAGAUG